GACAGAGGGUGCAAACGUUGCUCGGAAUUACUGGGCGUAAAGCGCACGUAGGCGGCUUGGUAUGUCGGGUGUGAAAUCCCCGGGCUCAACCUGGGAACUGCAUCCGAAACUGCCUUGCUCGAGUAUGGGAGAGGGAAGUGGAAUUGCCGGUGUAGCGGUGAAAUGCGUAGAUAUCGGAAGGAACAUCAGUGGCGAAGGCGACUUCCUGGACCAAUACUGACGCUCAGGUGCGAAAGCGUGGGGAGCAAACAGG
RNAcentral lists this ribosomal RNA (253 nucleotides) under uncultured bacterium. RNAcentral's name for it is "partial 16S ribosomal RNA". It matches the Rfam family "Bacterial small subunit ribosomal RNA", at positions 524 to 776 of the family's 1533-position model. The record is from RNAcentral.